GCCACAAUUAGAAGUCAAAAAGAAACACCAACAGAAUCAUUACAUGUUUGAAGCUCAUUCAGAAAACAAUAAGCUUAUUGGUCAGAUUCAUCACCCCGGCAAAUAAAUUGAAACUCGAUUCAUAUCCAAAAUAGAAGAUGUUUGGAAGGCCGCUAUCUCUAAUUUAUUCGUCACAAGAAAUUCACAUUUCAGUCGUAGACAACAGCAAGACUACUUAAACGACUUGAU
Molecule: unclassified non-coding RNA, 228 nt
Filed under: Hevea brasiliensis (rubber tree)
Lineage: Eukaryota; Viridiplantae; Streptophyta; Magnoliopsida; Malpighiales; Euphorbiaceae
Source: RNAcentral